UCCGUGGUUUAGAGGUAACAUACUUGCCUCGAAACUUCGAGGUCCCGGGUUCGAGUCCCGGUCGAGGAA
Molecule: transfer RNA, 69 nt
Filed under: Rhamnusium bicolor
Lineage: Eukaryota; Metazoa; Arthropoda; Insecta; Coleoptera; Cerambycidae
Description: tRNA-OTHER
Source: RNAcentral